GAUGAACGCUGGCGGCGUGCCUAAUACAUGCAAGUCGAGCGAACAGACGAGGAGCUUGCUCCUCUGACGUUAGCGGCGGACGGGUGAGUAACACGUGGAUAACCUACCUAUAAGACUGGGAUCACUUCGGGAACCCGGAGAUAAUACCGGAUAAUAUAUUGAACCGCAUGGUUCAAUAGUGAAAGACGGUUUUGCUGUCACUUAUAGAUGUAUCCGCGCCGCAUUAGCUAGUUGGUAAGGUAACGGCUUACCAAGGCAACGAUGCGUAGCCGACCUGAGAGGGUGAUCGGCCACACUGGAACUGAGACACGGUCCAGACUCCUACGGGAGGCAGCAGUAGGGAAUCUUCCGCAAUGGGCGAAAGCCUGACGGAGCAACGCCGCGUGAGUGAUGAAGGUCUUCGGAUCGUAAAACUCUGUUAUUAGGGAAGAACAAAUGUGUAAGUAACUAUGCACGUCUUGACGGUACCUAAUCAGAAAGCCACGGCUAACUACGUG
Molecule: ribosomal RNA, 497 nt
Filed under: uncultured bacterium
Lineage: Bacteria
Description: partial 16S ribosomal RNA
Rfam family: Bacterial small subunit ribosomal RNA
Source: RNAcentral